This 251-nucleotide ribosomal RNA is filed under the name Salmonella enterica subsp. enterica serovar Infantis. Its description in RNAcentral is "partial 16S ribosomal RNA". The record is from RNAcentral. Lineage: Bacteria; Pseudomonadati; Pseudomonadota; Gammaproteobacteria; Enterobacterales; Enterobacteriaceae.
GGAUUGGAGUCUGCAACUCGACUCCAUGAAGUCGGAAUCGCUAGUAAUCGUGGAUCAGAAUGCCACGGUGAAUACGUUCCCGGGCCUUGUACACACCGCCCGUCACACCAUGGGAGUGGGUUGCAAAAGAAGUAGGUAGCUUAACCUUCGGGAGGGCGCUUACCACUUUGUGAUUCAUGACUGGGGUGAAGUCGUAACAAGGUAACCGUAGGGGAACCUGCGGUUGGAUCACCUCCUUACCUKAAAGAAGC